Molecule: ribosomal RNA, 527 nt
Filed under: Pseudocercospora macadamiae
Lineage: Eukaryota; Fungi; Ascomycota; Dothideomycetes; Mycosphaerellales; Mycosphaerellaceae
Description: eukaryotic LSU rRNA
Rfam family: 5.8S ribosomal RNA (bases 182-335)
Source: RNAcentral
AAGGGCUCCGUAGGUCGACCUGCGGAGGAUCAUUACUGAGUGAGGCCUCAACCAGACCUCCAACCCUUUGUGAACACAUCUUGUUGCUUCGGGGGCGACCCUGCCGGCACUACGUCGCCGGGCGCCCCCGAAGGUCUCCAAACACUGCAUCUUUGCGUCGGAGUUUAAACAAAUUAAACAAAACUUUCAACAACGGAUCUCUUGGUUCUGGCAUCGAUGAAGAACGCAGCGAAAUGCGAUAAGUAAUGUGAAUUGCAGAAUUCAGUGAAUCAUCGAAUCUUUGAACGCACAUUGCGCCCUUUGGUAUUCCGAAGGGCAUGCCUGUUCGAGCGUCAUUUCACCACUCAAGCCUGGCUUGGUAUUGGGCGUCGCGGCUCCGCGCGCCUUAAAGUCUCCGGCUGAGCCAUUCGUCUCUAAGCGUUGUGGAUUUUCUAAUUCGCUUCGGAGUGCGGGUGGCCGCGGCCGUUAAAUCUUUAUUCAAAGGUUGACCUCGGAUCAGGUAGGGAUACCCGCUGAACUUAAGCAUA